This 25-nucleotide non-coding RNA is filed under the name Rattus norvegicus (Norway rat). Lineage: Eukaryota; Metazoa; Chordata; Mammalia; Rodentia; Muridae. The record is from RNAcentral.
UAUGAGUUCAAAAUCACAUGGUGGU